This 524-nucleotide ribosomal RNA is filed under the name uncultured bacterium. RNAcentral's name for it is "bacterial SSU rRNA". It matches the Rfam family "Bacterial small subunit ribosomal RNA", at positions 370 to 884 of the family's 1533-position model. The record is from RNAcentral.
AAUGGACGAAAGUCUGACGGAGCAACGCCGCGUGAGUGAAGAAGGUUUUCGGAUCGUAAAACUCUGUUUUCAGGGACGAAUGUGCGAUAUGUGAAUAAUGUGUUGUAAUGACGGUACCUGACAAGAAAGCCACGGCUAACUACGUGCCAGCAGCCGCGGUAAUACGUAGGUGGCAAGCGUUGUCCGGAAUUAUUGGGCGUAGAGCGCGCGCAGGUGGGAUAAUAAGUCUGAUGUUAAAGUUCGGGGCUCAACCCCGUGAAGCAUUUGGAUACUGUUAUUCUUGAGUGCAGGAGAGGAAAGUGGAAUUCCUAGUGUAGCGGUGAAAUGCGUAGAUAUUAGGAGGAACACCAGUGGCGAAGGCGACUUUCUGGACUGUGUCUGACACUGAGGCGCGAAAGCCAGGGUAGUGAACGGGAUUAGAUACCCCGGUAAUCCUGGCCGUAAACGAUGGGUACUAGGUGUUGGGGGUAUCGACCCCUCCAGUGCCGGAGUUAACGCAAUAAGUACCCCGCCUGGUGAGUACG